ACCUCCAUGAUCAUGGCUCCUAUUCUGUUUGUUGCUGUAAUUAUGGUCUCCAAAAUUUACAUGUCUUAUGCAAGUAUAUCAUUCACUAUUGUACCAGUGACACAAUAUGUAUAUAUCAAUGAUACUGUCACAUUCAAGUUGAGUGUGGUGCUAAUGGGACUGAAUACACCCUUGUUAUUCUUAGUAGAGGAGUACCACUAUCUUUGCUAAUAUCUAAAACAUUACCUAAUGGUAUAAGGUUGCUAUGCUAUCCUUUAAUUUAACGGCAACUAAUGCAUCAAAUGGAACUGACGUUACCUGCCUAUCAUUUGGUGAUAAUGGAAAUGCCACUGAAACUGCCUAUCUUUAUGUUCAAGGUCCACCUGAUAGUGUCAGUAAUUUAACAGGAUAUCAGUUAGAUUCUUGUUGUAUGUUUAUCAGUUGGUAUCCUCCACUCACACUACCAGGACUAACAGUACAGUAUAUAAUCAGUGUAGGAACUGAUCAACAGUACCUUAAUGACUCUAUCACUAA
Amphimedon queenslandica is the source of this 513-nucleotide long non-coding RNA. RefSeq lists it as uncharacterized. The transcript is spliced from 3 exons. Lineage: Eukaryota; Metazoa; Porifera; Demospongiae; Haplosclerida; Niphatidae. The record is from RefSeq and is a predicted model, not a curated record.